Molecule: ribosomal RNA, 1343 nt
Filed under: uncultured bacterium
Lineage: Bacteria
Description: bacterial SSU rRNA
Rfam family: Bacterial small subunit ribosomal RNA
Source: RNAcentral
AUCACGCUGGCGGCGUGCCUCAGACAUGCAAGUCGAACGAUUAAAGCUCCCUUCGGGGAGUGCAUAAAGUGGCGCACGGGUGAGUAACACGUAAGUAAUCUGCCUUCGAGUGGGGAAUAACCCGGGGAAACCCGAGCUAAUACCGCAUAAUGCAGCGGCACCUAAUGGUGACAGUUGUUAAAGGAGCAAUCCGCUUGAAGAGGAGCUUGCGGCAGAUUAGCUUGUUGGUAAGGUAACGGCUUACCAAGGCUACGAUCUGUAUCCGGUCUAAGAGGACGGUCGGACACACUGACACUGAAUAACGGGUCAGACUCCUACGGGAGGCAGCAGUCGGGAAUUUUGGGCAAUGGGGGAAACCCUGACCCAGCAACGCCGCGUGAAGGAUGAAGUAUUUCGGUAUGUAAACUUCGAAAGAAUAGGAAGAAUUAAUGACGGUACUAUUUAUAAGGUCCGGCUAACUACGUGCCAGCAGCCGCGGUAAUACGUAGGGACCAAGCGUUGUUCGGAUUUACUGGGCGUAAAGGGCGCGUAGGCGGCGCGGUAAGUCACUUGUGAAAUCUCUGAGCUUAACUCAGAACGGCCAAGUGAUACUGCAGUGCUAGAGUGUGGAAGGGGCAAUCGGAAUUCUUGGUGUAGCGGUGAAAUGCGUAGAUAUCAAGAGGAACACCUGAGGUGAAGACGGGUUGCUGGGCCAACACUGACGCUGAUGCGCGAAAGCCAGGGGAGCAAACGGGAUUAGAUACCCCGGUAGUCCUGGCCCUAAACGAUGAAUACUUGGUGUCUGGAGUUUUAAUGCUCCGGGUGCCGUCGCUAACGUUUUUAGUAUUCCGCCUGGGGAGUACGCUCGCAAGAGUGAAACUCAAAGGAAUUGACGGGGACCCGCACAAGCGGUGGAGCAUGUGGUUUAAUUCGACACAACGCGAAGAACCUUACCUGGGCUAGAAUGCCCGUGACAGCCCCAGAGAUGGGGUCUCCUUGGUAAAACUUGGCACGGUGCAAGGUGCUGCACGGCUGUCGUCAGCUCGUGUCGUGAGAUGUUGGGUUAAGUCCCGCAACGAGCGCAACCCUUAUCAAUAGUUGCCAGCGGUUUGGCCGGGCACUCUAUUGAGACUGCCGUUGACAAAACGGAGGAAGGUGGGGAUGACGUCAAGUCCUCAUGGCCUUUAUGUCCAGGGCUACACACGUGCUACAAUGGCAAGUACAAAGCGCUGCAAACCUGCAAAGGGGAGCCAAUCGCAAAAAGCUUGUCUCAGUUCGGAUUGGAGUCUGCAACUCGACUCCAUGAAGUUGGAAUCGCUAGUAAUCGCAGAUCAGCAUGCUGCGGUGAAUACGUUCCGCGGGUC